RNAcentral lists this ribosomal RNA (472 nucleotides) under uncultured Desulfocapsa sp. RNAcentral's name for it is "bacterial SSU rRNA". It matches the Rfam family "Bacterial small subunit ribosomal RNA", at positions 920 to 1378 of the family's 1533-position model. The record is from RNAcentral. Lineage: Bacteria; Pseudomonadati; Thermodesulfobacteriota; Desulfobulbia; Desulfobulbales; Desulfocapsaceae.
ACGGGGCCCGCACAAGCGGUGGAGUAUGUGGUUUAAUUCGACGCAACGCGCAGAACCUUUACCUGGUCUUGACAUCUCGGGAAUCAUUUGGAAACAUAUGAGUGCCUCGCAAGAGGAGCCCGAUGACAGGUGCUGCAUGGCUGUCGUCAGCUCGUGUCGUGAGAUGUUGGGUUAAGUCCCGCAACGAGCGCAACCCUUGUCUUUAGUUGCCAUCAUUAAGUUGGGCACUCUAAAGAGACUGCCGGUGUCAAACCGGAGGAAGGUGGGGAUGACGUCAAGUCCUCAUGGCCUUUAUGACCAGGGCUACACACGUACUACAAUGGCAGGUACAAAGGGCAGCCACUUAGCGAUAAGGCGCGAAUCCCAUAAAACCUGUCUCAGUCCGGAUUGGAGUCUGCAACUCGACUCCAUGAAGUUGGAAUCGCUAGUAAUCGUAGAUCAGAACGCUACGGUGAAUACGUUCUCGGGGUUU